CUGCCAACCGCACGGGAGCAAAACACAGAAAAUCUUUCACUCGCCUUCGAAGGAGGAUCGUCGCGCAACAUUUCGCGAUAAGCAGUUUUCGUCCGCUUUAUCGGAAAAAUCGUCCCGUUUCGCGUUCCGGACAGAUCCUCAACCCGUUCGACCGCCGUGUGAUGCGCUAAACGAAGAAAAGCCACCGUCUCGUGAGUGCGUGCGUGAGAAUAGUGAAGUGCUCUAACACUACUCCUCCGGUACGGUUCGGGGUUGUUCCGUUGUUCUGCUUGUCAGUCAGUGUAUUUGAACUCGUCAUCAUCAUCAGUUUUUUUUUCUGCCAGCGUAGUGCCCAAUUUCUUACCCUCGUCUUCUCCGCGGAACUCAGAAGUAACAGCAAACCGCACAAGAAGAAAUGUCUUUCGCCGAGAGAUUAGCCGGGCUGAUGGCCCGCCCCGGCCAGGAUAACGUUCCCCGCGAUGACGUACCGUGGCACCUAAAGUACGGUGGACGCGCCGUUGGAAUUGUGGGAGGAUUCUUCGCCAUCCUAUUCGGUUUGUACAACUGCAUCGGGAUCCUGCUGGGGGACGUUGGCUGCCUGGUCGGUGGCAUUCUAGAAAUUCUGGCCGGUUUUGUGGUGUUAGCGAUAGAGGCGCCUUGCUGUUUCAUCUUCAUCGACCACGUGCAGCAGAUUGCGGAAAAGGCGGACCAACGGCCCUACUGGAACCGAGCCGCCCUGUACUGCAUCAUCGCGCUUCCACCAGUAAUUCUCUGCCUAGGCUUGGGUAGCUUAUUCGGUUGCGGGCUCAUUUUCGUCACCGGAAUGAUUUACGGCAUGAUGUCGCUCGGCAAAAAGGGAACUCGCGAGGACAUGGCAGCGAUGGCUUCGCCGAACGCGAUGUCCCCGGUACAGGGCGUACCUUCAACGGAUCAGCACUCGACCCUGAUGGAGGAUCCCGACGUAUGGCGUCCAACAUAAAUCAGUCGCUAGACUAACUUUCCCAAAAACAGCAACCAACAUCCAAAGCAUACUACUAAUCAUGAUUAGAAGCAUCGCGUUGCGUUAUUGCUCGAAUUUUUGAAACUCACCCUCUAAAAUCAGGAAGAACACUCACCAACCAUCACUAACACAUUACAUACAUUUAAACGGACGUAUUCCUCUCUCAGCGAAACAAUCUUAGAAAGGCAUACAGCAAUAUCCCACUGACCCACGAACAAUCAUCUCAAGAACAAACCCUGCGCUGAGACAAACAAUUGACGACAAGGAGAGGGAAACUUUGUAAAAGACACUCACACACACAUGCAUACCAACAAACAAAUGCAAGAAGCAGCUCACGCAUACAUUUCAUAACUUGUUAAGCCGAUAAUGUUAAACGAUGUGAAAAGUGACAAACACACACUCACAAAUACAGUUAAGCAUUUCCAAAGCAAACAGUAAUUGUAAUUGUAAACCCCUAGCCAUAUAAAGUUAGAAAUAAAUUGAGACGAAAGUACGUACGAUUGUAAUAAGCAGCAGCAGCAGCAAUGUAGUUGUUUGCGGUCUGAACUUACAUUCGACCGCUAAACGGAAAUAUAUGGAACAUAAGAACAAUAGUUUGACGCGUAUGAAAGUAAAAUCUAGAGAAUAUCUCGUUAGGUAUUUGAAAAUGUCCUUCAGGUAAAGAAAAAGACUCACGCACACUUAUCACACUAUGACUCACACUCACACAAACCUAACAUUAGCGACACUCACACACGAAAACAAACUAUAUUGGAACACGACACAAGAACGGAAUAUAAAUUAGCGGACUCUCAAUCCAAUGGGCGUAUUGCGCGACGAUAUCAUAAUUAGGACAAGUUUUACUCUCAAACUGCCUGUUAGGAAUAACACAUAGCGUCGUUUGCGGAAAUGCGGGCGGCGGCAGCAGCAUCAACGGCGGCCUCGUCCGCUGAGCAGGGUCGAGCCGGCGGCGCCAACGGUGCCACAUCCGGGUCCAACCUGGGAGGAUCCAUGCCGAACAGCAAGCAAAGCUCGACCCUGGUCAACAAUGUGCAACCGAUCGCCUACAGUAUGCCACCACCGUACGAUAGUGUAGCCUAAUUAAUCAACAGUUCGUUGUGUAAUACUAUAAGGGUAGAAGACGUGCAAAGAUAGCGAAGGACGAGCGUAAAGACUUUAUAUAGGAAGAUGUUGUUAUCCCUUAAGACGUCGCUACUCAUUCCCCCGAUCCUUCCCUAACUUCCUGCUAGUUAUACUAGUAUAACUACUACAAUUGUACUCUAGGAUUGGUGAGCAACAACGUUCUGAUUCUGAUCGAGAUGCUGCUUGCGCCAAAAGCAGUCAAGUCCUCCCCUAAGCUAAGGAACCCGAUUAUUUCACAUAUGAAACUUUUCUGUUAGUUUAGCUAUUACCUAUGUGCAUUUUUGCUGUUUAGUGGGCGAUUCAAAGUAUGUGAACUAAAGAUAAACUUAUUAUUAUUAUUAUUGAUUAUAUCACCUAUGGAUACUGAUUAUGAAACAAAAAAGUUUAAUCCCAUUAACUAGCGAAACUUACUGAACUAGCUUAAUUGAUUACGAUUACAUGAAGAAAUACACUAUAUUUAUUAGUGAAGUUGAACUACCCAACUGAGAUAUGUGCUGUAAAUUUUUCUCUUGCGUUAGGUGUAAAUUUGUUGCUCGUAAGUGAUUCGUCAUCAGGAAACAAUGAGAAUGAUUAGACAGACAAGCACUCUGUGAGAAGAAGAAAAAAGAACUACACAUCAAAUUUAGUUAGCCUAAACUCUAUUUAUUGCAAACUUAAUUUACUGAACUGAAAACUAACCGGGACGAAGGAUAACGAAUGAUUUCUGAUUGCUGAGAUCAGCUGGCGGGAUUUAGUCUAAUUCUAACACUUGAGCGCCAGUGGAGAUGAAUAGUGAGAUGUACGUUCUGGACGAAAUGUACAGCAAAUAGCAGAAAGGAAUGGUGUAAUAGGUUAACAACAGUGUGGAGAAAAUAGACAGAGAAGAAAUGCGAAAACGAAAUGCUUGUAAUAGUCUAUCGAGUUAAAUUACACUAAAGUUAAGACUGGCAGUGAAUAAACUUUCCAUUAAAUAUGUGACAAAAUUGAAA
Aedes aegypti (yellow fever mosquito) is the source of this 3069-nucleotide RNA transcript. It is a transcript of the gene named calcium channel flower, with no coding region annotated. The transcript is spliced from 6 exons. The record is from RefSeq and is a predicted model, not a curated record. Lineage: Eukaryota; Metazoa; Arthropoda; Insecta; Diptera; Culicidae.